UGGGGAAUUUUGGACAAUGGGCGAAAGCCUGAUCCAGCAAUGCCGCGUGUGUGAAGAAGGCCUUCGGGUUGUAAAGCACUUUUGUCCGGAAAGAAAUCCUUGGCUCUAAUACAGUCGGGGGGAUGACGGUACCGGAAGAAUAAGCACCGGCUAACUACGUGCCAGCAGCCGCGGUAAUACGUAGGGUGCAAGCGUUAAUCGGAAUUACUGGGCGUAAAGCGUGCGCAGGCGGUUUGCUAAGACCGAUGUGAAAUCCCCGGGCUCAACCUGGGAACUGCAUUGGUGACUGGCAGGCUAGAGUAUGGCAGAGGGGGGUAGAAUUCCACGUGUAGCAGUGAAAUGCGUAGAGAUGUGGAGGAAUACCGAUGGCGAAGGCAGCCCCCUGGGCCAAUACUGACGCUCAUGCACGAAAGCGUGGGGGAGCAAAAC
Molecule: ribosomal RNA, 429 nt
Filed under: uncultured bacterium
Lineage: Bacteria
Description: partial 16S ribosomal RNA
Rfam family: Bacterial small subunit ribosomal RNA
Source: RNAcentral